CACGAACCGUACGAACGUUAUUCGGAAUCACUGGGCUUAAAGCGUGCGUAGGCGGCCUAGCAAGUUGGGUGUGAAAGCCCUCGGCUCAACCGAGGAAUUGCGCCCAAAACUGCUAGACUUGAGGAAGAUAGAGGUGAGCGGAACUGAUGGUGGAGCGGUGAAAUGCGUUGAUAUCAUUAGGAACACCGGUGGCGAAAGCGGCUCACUGGGUCUUUUCUGACGCUGAGGUACGAAAGCUAGGGGAGCGAACGGG
This 253-nucleotide ribosomal RNA is filed under the name uncultured bacterium. RNAcentral describes it as "partial 16S ribosomal RNA". It matches the Rfam family "Bacterial small subunit ribosomal RNA", at positions 524 to 776 of the family's 1533-position model. The record is from RNAcentral.